CAGCAGGCGCGAAAACUUUACAAUGCUGGCAACAGCGAUAAGGGGACCUCGAGUGCCAGGAUACAAUCUUGGCUGUCGCGAUGCCUAAAAAGCAUUGCAUAGCAAGGGCCGGGCAAGACCGGUGCCAGCCGCCGCGGUAACACCGGCGGCUCGAGUGGUAACCGCUAUUAUUGGGUCUAAAGGGUCUGUAGCCGGCCGGAUAAGUCUUUUGGGAAAUCCAGCUGCUCAACAGUUGGGCUUUCAGAAGAUACUGUUCGGCUCGAGACCGGGAGAGGUGAGAGGUACUUCAGGGGUAGGGGUGAAAUCUUGUAGUCCUUGAAGGACCACCAGUGGCGAAGGCGUCUCACCAGAACGGAUCUGACGGCAAGGGACGAAAGCUAGGGGCACGAACCGGAUUAGAUACCCGGGUAGUCCUAGCCGUAAACGAUACUCGCUAGGUGUCAGCCACGGUGCGACCGUGGUUGGUGCCGUAGGGAAGCCGUGAAGCGAGCCACCUGGGAAGUACGGCCGCAAGGCUGAAACUUAAAGGAAUUGGCGGGGGAGCAC
Molecule: ribosomal RNA, 546 nt
Filed under: uncultured archaeon
Lineage: Archaea
Description: bacterial SSU rRNA
Rfam family: Archaeal small subunit ribosomal RNA
Source: RNAcentral